Molecule: transfer RNA, 57 nt
Filed under: Loxodonta africana (African savanna elephant)
Lineage: Eukaryota; Metazoa; Chordata; Mammalia; Proboscidea; Elephantidae
Rfam family: tRNA
About the family: Transfer RNA (tRNA) molecules are approximately 80 nucleotides in length. Their secondary structure includes four short double-helical elements and three loops (D, anti-codon, and T loops).
Source: Rfam by way of RNAcentral
UGGCUCAGUGGUUAAGAGCUUGGCUGCUAACCAAAAGGUCAGUGGUUCCAACCCACU